This 407-nucleotide ribosomal RNA is filed under the name uncultured Pseudomonas sp. Its description in RNAcentral is "bacterial SSU rRNA". It matches the Rfam family "Bacterial small subunit ribosomal RNA", at positions 1003 to 1408 of the family's 1533-position model. Lineage: Bacteria; Pseudomonadati; Pseudomonadota; Gammaproteobacteria; Pseudomonadales; Pseudomonadaceae. The record is from RNAcentral.
GAGAUAGAUAGGUGCCUUCGGGAACAUUGAGACAGGUGCUGCAUGGGCUGUCGUCAGCUCGUGUCGUGAGAUGUUGGGUUAAGUCCCGUAACGAGCGCAACCCUUGUCCUUAGUUACCAGCACGUAAUGGUGGGCACUCUAAGGAGACUGCCGGUGACAAACCGGAGGAAGGUGGGGAUGACGUCAAGUCAUCAUGGCCCUUACGGCCUGGGCUACACACGUGCUACAAUGGUCGGUACAGAGGGUUGCCAAGCCGCGAGGUGGAGCUAAUCCCAGAAAACCGAUCGUAGUCCGGAUCGCAGUCUGCAACUCGACUGCGUGAAGUCGGAAUCGCUAGUAAUCGCGAAUCAGAAUGUCGCGGUGAAUACGUUCCCGGGCCUUGUACACACCGCCCGUCACACCAUGGG